UUCUUUGUGGGCUCAGGAAUUUCCAAGGUGUUCGUUUGAGAGUCCAAGGACAAAUUCUGCAGCAAUUCUGCAGCUUCUAUGGGAAAGAAAAAAGUGAAGGAAAUACGCAGAACAUAGCUCCGGAUCAUAACCAUUAAUUAAGAGAAACUAUAAAGCUGUACGCAAAAUUCACCAUUCCUUGCAGAGAAUUAUAUAAUCAAAUAAAAUAUCUAACCAACAAAAAAAGAGCAAUCAAUCAACACUGAAAUCACUCUUACAGAAAAAAACAACAUAGAAACCCACCUCAAAUCACGUUAAGCUAUAACACCCGAAAUAAAAACAAAAGCAAAUCAACGCCACAUAUUAACAAAACAAAAGCACAUAUCGAGAAACCAUAAAGAACCCAUGAAACAGAUGUUACAGAUCUCGACCAGGAUUAGAAAGCAAUAUAAACAUUAAAAAGAAAAUAUACCCAGAUCAGGAAAUUUAGAAAGGAUACUCUCAGGAGAGGGAGCAACUGUAGCCAUGAGCGGAUAAAAUUGAUUUUCAGAUCUUAUAGUUGAAACCCUAAAUCUCCGAGAAAUAAGGUAAAAAUAUGAUUUAGGGGUUUGAGUGGGGAGAGGGAGAGGGAGAGAGAGGCAGAG
RNAcentral lists this long non-coding RNA (623 nucleotides) under Manihot esculenta (cassava). RNAcentral describes it as "long non-coding RNA (MESC_LNC004114)". Lineage: Eukaryota; Viridiplantae; Streptophyta; Magnoliopsida; Malpighiales; Euphorbiaceae. The record is from RNAcentral.